Molecule: ribosomal RNA, 688 nt
Filed under: Trapelia obtegens
Lineage: Eukaryota; Fungi; Ascomycota; Lecanoromycetes; Trapeliales; Trapeliaceae
Description: partial 18S small subunit ribosomal RNA
Rfam family: Eukaryotic small subunit ribosomal RNA
Source: RNAcentral
GUUUUUAUUAGAUAAAAAACMAAUGCCCUUCGGGGCUCCUUGGNGAUUCAUAAWAACUUAACVAAUCGCAUGGCCUUGCGCCGGCGAUGGUUCAUUCAAWUUUCUGCCCUAUCAAYUUUCGAUGGURGGAUAGKGGCCUACCAUGGKGGCAACGGGWAACGGGVAAUUAGGGUUCUAUUCCGGAGAGGGAGCCUGAGAAACGGCUACCACAUCCAAGGAAGGCAGCAGGCGCGCAAAUUACCCAAUCCCGACMCGGGGAGGUAGKGACAAUACAUACUGAUGUGGAGCUCUUUAGGGUUUCACAAUUGGAAUGAGAACAAUUUAAAUCCCUUAACGAGGAACAAUUGGAGGGCAAGUCUGGUGCCAGCAGCCGCGGWAAUUCCAGCUCCAAUAGCGUAUAUUAAAGUUGUUGCAGUUAAAAAGCUCGUAGUUGAACCUUGGGCCUGGCCGGCCGGUCCGCCUCACCGCGUGCACUGGUUCGGCCGGKCCUUUUCCUUCUGGGRACCCGCAUGCCCUUCGUUGGGUGUGUCGACRACCCAGGACUUUUUACUUUUGAAAAAAAUUARAGUGUUCAAAGCAGGCAUUUGCUCGGAUACWUUAGCAUGGGAAUAAUARAAAUAGGACGUUGCGGUUCCUAUUUUUGGUUGGGUUUCUWRGGACCCSCCSGUAAUGGAUWAAUARGGGAMCG